UACGAGAGGCCCAAACGUUAUUUGGAUUUACUGGGCUUAAAGAGUUCGUAGGCGGCUCGGAAAGUAGGGUGUGAAAGCCCUCGGCUCAACCGAGGAAUUGCGCUCUAAACUGCCGCGCUCGAGGAACCUAGAGGUGAGCAGAACUGAUGGUGGAGCGGUGAAAUGCGUUGAUAUCAUCAGGAAUACCGGAGGCGAAGGCGGCUCACUGGGGGUUAUCUGACGCUGAGGAACGAAAGCCAGGGGAGCAAACGGG
This 253-nucleotide ribosomal RNA is filed under the name uncultured bacterium. RNAcentral describes it as "partial 16S ribosomal RNA". It matches the Rfam family "Bacterial small subunit ribosomal RNA", at positions 524 to 776 of the family's 1533-position model. The record is from RNAcentral.